AGCAGCCGCGGUAAUUCCAGCUCCAAUAGCGUAUAUUAAAGUUGUUGCAGUUAAAAAGCUCGUAGUUGAAUUUCGGGAUCAAGGAAUCGGUCAUGCCUCGGUAUGUACUGGUUUUAUUGGUUCUCACCUUCUAAAGAACCAUGAUGUCAUUCAUUUGAUGUUAUGGGGAAUUAGGACUGUUACCUUGAAAAAAUUUAGAGUGUUUAAAGCAGGCUUACGCUUGAAUACAUUAGCAUGGAAUAAUGAAAUAGGACAUCAGAUUCUAUUUUGUUGGUUUCUAGGAUCGAUGUAAUGAUUAAUAGGGAUAGUUGGGGGCAUUAGUAUUCAAUUGUCAGAGGUGAAAUUCUUGGAUUUAUUGAAGACUAACUACUGCGAAAGCAUUUGCCAAGGAUGUUUUCAUUAAUCAAGAACGAAAGUUUGGGGAUCGAAGACGAUCAGAUACCGUCGUAGUCUUAACCAUAAACUAUGCCGACUAGGGAUCGGAUGAUGUUUAUUUUUUAGUGACUCAUUUCGGCACCUU
This 520-nucleotide unclassified non-coding RNA is filed under the name uncultured Glomus. RNAcentral describes it as "SSU rRNA". It matches the Rfam family "Eukaryotic small subunit ribosomal RNA", at positions 569 to 1089 of the family's 1831-position model. The record is from RNAcentral. Lineage: Eukaryota; Fungi; Glomeromycota; Glomeromycetes; Glomerales; Glomeraceae.